RNAcentral lists this ribosomal RNA (554 nucleotides) under uncultured fungus. Its description in RNAcentral is "eukaryotic LSU rRNA". The stretch from base 176 to 329 matches the Rfam family "5.8S ribosomal RNA". Lineage: Eukaryota; Fungi. The record is from RNAcentral.
UCCGUAGGUGAACCUGCGGAAGGAUCAUUAUCAAGCGCGGCUCUGCCGCGGUUGGAAUAGAACCCUUGCCACCUUUUGAGCACCCCCGUUUCCUCGGCAGGUCCGCCUGCCACCGGGACACCACAAACCCUCUGUAAUUGUCGUACACGUCUGAAGAAACAAGCAAAUCUAUUAAAACUUUCAACAACGGAUCUCUUGGCUCUGGCAUCGAUGAAGAACGCAGCGAAAUGCGAUAAGUAGUGUGAAUUGCAGAAUUCAGUGAAUCAUCGAAUCUUUGAACGCACAUUGCGCCCCUCGGUACUCCUUGGGGCAUGCCUGUUCGAGCGUCAUUUCAACCCUCAAGCUCAGCUUGGUGAUGGGCGAUCGUCCCGCCGCUCGCGCGUGGACCCCGCCUCGAAAGCAUUGGCGGCCGGUACGUUGGCUUCGAGCGCAGCACAUUAGCGCCUCGAGCCCGGCGGACUGGCCCUCCAUUCAAGCCGAACCCCACAGCUUUGACCUCGGAUCAGGUAGGGAUACCCGCUGAACUUAAGCAUAUCAAUAAGCGGAGGAAGUCG